This 427-nucleotide ribosomal RNA is filed under the name uncultured beta proteobacterium. Its description in RNAcentral is "bacterial SSU rRNA". It matches the Rfam family "Bacterial small subunit ribosomal RNA", at positions 353 to 772 of the family's 1533-position model. The record is from RNAcentral. Lineage: Bacteria; Pseudomonadati; Pseudomonadota; Betaproteobacteria.
AGUGGGGAAUUUUGGACAAUGGGGGAAACCCUGAUCCAGCCAUGCCGCGUGAGUGAAGAAGGCCUUCGGGUUGUAAAGCUCUUUUGGCCGGGAAGAAAGGGUUCGGGCGAAUAACCUGGAUCUUUGACGGUACCGGCAGAAUAAGCACCGGCUAACUACGUGCCAGCAGCCGCGGUAAUACGUAGGGUGCGAGCGUUAAUCGGAAUUACUGGGCGUAAAGCGUGCGUAGGCGGUUCGUUAUGUCUGCUGUGAAAUCCCCGGGCUCAACCUGGGAAUGGCAGUGGAAACUGGCGGGCUUGAGUGUGGCAGAGGGGGGUGGAAUUCCGCGUGUAGCAGUGAAAUGCGUAGAGAUGCGGAGGAACACCGAUGGCGAAGGCAGCCCCCUGGGCUGACACUGACGCUGAGGCACGAAAGCGUGGGGAGCAAA